RNAcentral lists this non-coding RNA (32 nucleotides) under Homo sapiens (human). Lineage: Eukaryota; Metazoa; Chordata; Mammalia; Primates; Hominidae. The record is from RNAcentral.
UCCAGUGGUGAUCUAAGAUAAAACCUUGAGAC